GAGCAAAACAUUUGCUAUUAUAUAAUUGGAAAUACAGGUAAUUUUUAAUAAAGUUAAUAGAACUUAGCAUUUAUAUAGUGCUUUUUUAUCUUCAGAGACUUUUAAAGAUUUUAAUUAAACCUCACAAGACUCCUGGGAGGUAGAUACUAUUCCCAUAUAAAAAUGGGAGACUCAGACUGAGAAGAAAUGUCCUGGACAGUGCUAUAGAGGGAGUCUGGGUUAGAGCCAGGAUUAGAACUCAGAAGUCUGAGACUCCAAAUUCAAUGCUCAGACCAUAUCUCUGUCAUUAUACCAAAAAUGUAAUUCAACUAAAAUAUGUCUAUAAAAUGUGCAUAUUGACUGUCUAUUUCCUCUUCUUCCUAGGUUGCUUGUCCUCUUAAGCGCAGUUCAUGUAAAGACUUACAUGCAAAAUUACUUUACAUAUCCCAUAGUCCCACUGAAGUCACUGAACUACUCACAUGUUUAAAGACUUGCUUGUAUGCUCAACUUCAAGUAUGUAAGUAGUCUAAAUCACUUAUAUGGGACUAUUCACAUAGUGAAAUCCUGGCUCUACUAAAGUCAACAGUACUUUGCCAUUGACUUUAGUAGAGCCAGGAUUUCACACACAAUAUAUAAAGCUAUGUGUAGUCUUUGCAAGAUCAGAGCUUAAGUUUGUACUGUGCGAACAUAAGAGGUCCUUGAUCCUGAUCAGACUUUUGGUAGUAUCACAACAAAUAUUAAAUAAUUAAUUAACUGUCCUAUGGUCUAAAUGCGUUUCCAUUGCGCACAAGAUGAUAUUUACUAAAUCGGAGUUUAACCAUAAAUGUAAAUUUCAGUAUGCAGUGCAGCUUUAAAGAAAAAAUAUUUAUGGGUUUUAAAUGAUGAAAUUGCAGUCAGACAUUUGAAAUUUAGUAUAAGGUGCCUUCCAAAAGCAUUUAUUUAUAUAGCUGAAACUUCUUAUAUAAACUACUGUGAUUAUCUUCCCCUCCUUGUUUUCAAAAGCCAUUUGCAAGAUACGCAAAAUAUAAAUUCAGUGUAUCCUUACCACUUUUAUUAACGUGCCUAUGUUUCACCUUUAAAAAAAAUACAUUUGUAGAAUGUUUGAUUGUGGGAAUUGUACAAUAUUGUAAUUUUAAAACAGAAAAAAAUGUUCAAAUAUUUCAUUUACCCUUUAUGCCAGAACCUUGCCACUAGAUGGCAUAUAUUCAUUAUUUUACUCAUAUGGAUAAAACAAGGCUAAGACAACAAUUAGGAGAAUGUGGGAACACAAGUGAACAAUGGAAUUUCCCAAUAAAGUGUAUUCUACAUUUAAUUUACCCUUUACAUAAGGUUUUUCCAUUCAUACAUGUCCAUAUUUCCUCGCAGGUUUGAAUAAUGAACAUACAGGAAUCAUAAACUGUAGUAAAAGUUAAUCUUCACCACCAAUGCAGUUUUAUAACUUCAGGUUCUUGGAGAAUAUGAAGCAAGGAAAUUGUACAUAGGAUGGCACUACCAACGCCAAGCUCCGUACUGCAAGUUUCUUAACAAACAAGAACUGCUGAACUAAGCCCUUAUAAGGUCAGAUUAUUCUCCAUGAUCUGUUUUUCUGAGACUGUUGGAAAGGACUGAAUGGACAUGGAGAUUAAACUACCCUAACAGGUGCUGUGUCCAGGUUGCGUGGGUCAAGUUACAGUGCCAUCUGACAAUGAUAAAGAAUCGUAGAAAGAGUCACUUUUAACACUGAACAAGGAAUUUUAUUAGCAAAACCUAUUAUUCCCAAGGCUACUCCAUCUCUCUCUGCAAUAUUCAAGAGUAUCUGCCUACAACUUUCCCCAUACUCCCACUGAUUGGCUUCCUGCAGUGUUUUUAAAAACAUAGGAUACAUACCUUCACAAAGGGUUAUGUAAAAACUCUUUUGCUUUACUUAUGAAGCCAUGGUGCAGUGCUGCCAACUCUCACUAUUUUAUCAUGACUCAUAAUAUUUAGUGUUAUUCUUAAACAUCCAACUCCUGGAGUCAUACAAAUAUGCGAGAACUUGAGUUUUCA
Molecule: non-coding RNA, 2004 nt
Organism: Chelonoidis abingdonii (Abingdon island giant tortoise)
Lineage: Eukaryota; Metazoa; Chordata; Testudines; Testudinidae
Source: RefSeq, a predicted model, not a curated record